RNAcentral lists this ribosomal RNA (279 nucleotides) under uncultured bacterium. Its description in RNAcentral is "partial 16S ribosomal RNA". It matches the Rfam family "Bacterial small subunit ribosomal RNA", at positions 506 to 784 of the family's 1533-position model. The record is from RNAcentral.
UGCCAGCCGCCGCGGUAAUACGGAGGGUGCAAGCGUUGUUCGGAAUUAUUGGGCAUAAAGCGCACGUAGGCGGUCCGUUAAGUUAGGCGUGAAAUCCCCCGGCUCAACCGGGGAACUGCGUUUGAUACUGGCGGACUUGAGGAUGGUAGGGGAAAGUGGAACUCCUGGUGGAGCGGUGGAAUGCGUAGAUAUCAGGAGGAACGCCAGAGGUGAAGACGACUUUCUGGCCUAAUGCUGACGCUGAGGUGCGAAAGCUAGGGUAGCGAACGGGAUUAGAUA